This 183-nucleotide ribosomal RNA is filed under the name uncultured bacterium. Its description in RNAcentral is "partial 16S ribosomal RNA". It matches the Rfam family "Bacterial small subunit ribosomal RNA", at positions 1317 to 1500 of the family's 1533-position model. The record is from RNAcentral.
UGCAUGAAGUUGGAAUUAGCUAGUAAUGGCAGGUCAGCAUACUGCCGUGAAUACGUUCCCGGGCCUUGUACACACCGCCCGUCACACCAUGAGAGUUGGAGAUACCCGAAGCCUGUGAGCUAACAAACGAGGCAGCAGUCGAAGGUAGAAUCAAUGAUUGGGGUGAAGUCGUAACAAGGUAUC